Regulatory RNA element from Idiomarina xiamenensis 10-D-4, 123 nucleotides. It matches the Rfam family "ALIL pseudoknot". The record is from Rfam. Lineage: Bacteria; Pseudomonadati; Pseudomonadota; Gammaproteobacteria; Alteromonadales; Idiomarinaceae.
UGCACUUUUUGCGCAGGCGGAGCUCGACCGCAAACCGAAGAAAUAGUCCAGUUUAUUGAUGCUCACCGGGCGUUGUAUGUGUAUGGUAUCGAGCCAAUCUGUCGGGUAUUGAAGAUUGCACCA